RNAcentral lists this ribosomal RNA (450 nucleotides) under uncultured Anaerolineaceae bacterium. Its description in RNAcentral is "bacterial SSU rRNA". It matches the Rfam family "Bacterial small subunit ribosomal RNA", at positions 919 to 1382 of the family's 1533-position model. The record is from RNAcentral. Lineage: Bacteria; Bacillati; Chloroflexota; Anaerolineae; Anaerolineales; Anaerolineaceae.
ACCCGCACAAGCAGCGGAGCGUGUGGUUUAAUUCGUUGCUACACGAAGAACCUUACCUGGGUUUGACAUAUAGGUUGUAGGGAACUGAAAAGGGACCGACCCUUCGGGGAGCCUAUACAGGUGUUGCAUGGCUGUCGUCAGCUCGUGUCGUGAGAUGUUCGGUUAAGUCCGCUAACGAGCGCAACCCUCGUCGUAUGUUAUAUGUGUCAUACGGGACCGCCGGUCUUAAGCCGGAGGAAGGUGGGGAUGACGUCAAGUCAGCAUGGCCUUUAUAUCCUGGGCUACACACACGCUACAAUGGCCAACACAAUAGGUCGCUAAGCCGCGAGGUGGAGCCAAUCCAUAAAGUUGGUCUCAGUUCAGAUUGCAGGCUGCAACCCGCCUGCAUGAAGAUGGAGUUGCUAGUAACCGCAGGUCAGCUAUACUGCGGUGAAUACGUUCCCGGGGCUU